Molecule: ribosomal RNA, 301 nt
Filed under: uncultured bacterium
Lineage: Bacteria
Description: partial 16S ribosomal RNA
Rfam family: Bacterial small subunit ribosomal RNA
Source: RNAcentral
CAGUAGCCGCGGUAAUACGAAGGGUGCAAGCGUUAAUCGGAAUUACUUGGCGUAAAGCGUGCGUAGGCGGUUUGUUAAGUCUGCUGUGAAAUCCCCGGGCUCAACCUGGGAAUGGCAGUGGAUACUGGCAAGCAAGAGUGUGUCAGAGGAUGGUGGAAUUCCCGGUGUAGCGGUGAAACGCGUAGAGAUCGGGAGGAACAUCAGUGGCGAAGGCGGCCAUCUGGGACAACACUGACGCUGAGGCACGAAAGCGUGGGGAGCAAACAGGAUUAGAGACCCCAGUAGUCCCUGUCUCUUAUAA